GCUCUCUGCCACCAAGGAACUCCUUUUCCCCAAGGGAGAUGAUGCCUGGAGCUGUGAAACAAAUCCUGAGCCACCGGAUGAGUGUAGACUUGAGACUCCAGAGUUUGGGAUCCUCGUCCAGAUCAUGCCACUGCUUACCAAGUAGGGUCCUGCCUACCAUAAUCCAGGAAGUGGUCUUCCAGACAUUAAAUAGGAUCAUGAAAUCAAUGGUGUGAGCCUUCACAAGAAACCAAAAUCAUGGUAUUCUGAAGACCAGAGAUAGGAAUCUCCCUCAUUUGACAUCCACUGGGUCUGGAUCUGUUUCACUGCUAAUGCUUUGCUGCCAGAACUAUACAAGCUGCCUCCCUCUAGGUCCAGGGACUAUCACAGAAAGGGCGGGCAUGUACAGUUUGUAAGGGCGGGCAUGUACAAUUUGUAAGGGCGGGCAUGUACAAUUUGUAAGGGCCAGUUUCGAGGGAUAAAAUUAGGACAAGAUCAAACCCUCCAAAUCAAAAAGGAGGUCCAAAAAAAAAUGCCUAAACAGCUGGUAAAACAAGUUUGCUUGUCUUCUAAACUGUUAUGUGUCACUUUUGCAUCCAUCCCAACCAUAAAAUUUCGCUAUAAAAUUAAAGAAAAACAUUUACUAACAGGAUAAAAUACCUUACCACAAAGCUUCCUGGGUAUAAUACUCCCAAUGAUAACUGGUAAAAAUAAACCUAUCUAUCCAUAUAUAUAUUUUUAAUUUUUCAGAGCAGUGCUUAUGUUUUGUAUAGCUAAUUGCUGUAAGUCUGUAACAAAAACCAAACUCACAGCAGCUCAACACAUAGAAGUUAAAAAUAAGUCAGUCUUGCAACUUUGCCUUUUGGUUUUUCUGCUGGCCUUUUUACUUAAAAUAAUAAUUUUAAAAAGUAACAAAUGGCUGUCCACAACCCUUCCUAUCUGGCCUAGAACAAUUAAUUGGCUAUAAGUCUUUUAACUCUUAUGGUCCUCAGCCAUAGGUAGUCCUGCCAAGGAAAAAAAUAACACUGUAGAAUUAUAUAACUUCCCCUGUGACAAAACCUUUUCCCUCCAAAUACCAGUAUAUGGUGCAAUACAAAAGUCGGUUGGUGGGGGUGGUGGGCGGGAAAUAGAUUUGUCUACUGUUAACAAGUCUAUCACAAUUUAAACACUGAGGACCAGGUGUUUCUGGUAUUUAAUUUAUGUUAUAUGCAUAGGAUGCUAUACCUAUGGAAACACAUCGGCUAGAAAAGAGAUUAAAUUUAUUAAAUUCUAAUUUAAUGUUUGUCCCACAAUUCUCAAGUAAGAUUUCUCACAAGGUCCAAAUAACCCUUAAUAAGGAAGGUAAACACAUUGUGAGUUUGAUCAAAAAUAUGAUGAUGCAUGUGGGGUUUUCUGGCUGAUUGGGUUGGUUACUAUCCUCUGAUUCUAACUACAACCUUGGACGCCCAAACCUUCUCUAUCUUUAUAAUAUUUGUUACUAUAUUAACAUUAGACAUUUUCUUGCAAAUAUUAUGCCAGGUACAGCAAAAGGAAAGACACAAUUAAAAACCUGGAUCAUAAUAACUCAGAAAAUAGAUCUGAUCCGGGAUGGUUUUUUUUUUAGACUAAACCCUAGGCCUGACUCCAUCUCACUCGGUAAACAAUUGGCUAUUGCAUCAGGUCAGACCAUGUCCUCCCCCCAUUAUCCAAAUCGCUAAUAUUUAAAACUGCCAUCAACCAGACUACACUAGGAAUAAGCCUUCCUAGCACCGUGGGACCUCACCAAAUGACCAGAUCAGACAACUCUAGGAAUAAGCGCUCCUAGAGCCAUGGAAUCUGCCGCUGUUGGCCUGCAUAUGCUUUCUGUGAAUGCUUUUUGGCCAAGAGGGAGGACUGAAGACUAAACUCUGAUUUUUUACCUUACCCAAAUUCCUUUCUAAGAGGUCUGGGGAGUCACGCCCUAAAAACCAGAAAUUUUUAUCAAAUGGAUUUUAUUUAAUCCUGUAUCUCGUGACUUUCCAAUCUGACUCUGGCAUAACAAGGAGGAAAAUCAAAAUGUUUUACCCCAAAAUAUAUUUCCUUGCUAUACCUUGAAAUUGCCCUGCAAAGUCUCUUGUGGGAAAAAACCACAUUCUGUAGAGAAUCCCCUUUCCCCUUGGUUUUCCUUCCUUCCUUCCUUCCCAAAUCCAGGAGAUAAUCAACUAAGAGCCAGGUGCCCUUUUAAGUCUGAUAUAAAACAAUUUACCACCUGCUCUCUCUAAAGUCUGGUAAGAACUUCAUCUGCACAAUAAAACUUGGUCUCCACAAUCCUUUAUCUUUAACAUGAACAUUCUUUCUAUCAAUCCCAGGUGUUCAGAUAACCUCAACCAAUUGUCAACCAGAAAAUGUUUAAAUUUUCCUAUAGCCUGGAAGCCCCUGCUUUGAGUUGUCCGCCUUUCUAAACCAAACCAAUGUAUUUCUUAAAUGUAUUUGAUUGCUCCCUAAAAAUAUGCCUCCCUAAAAUACAUAAAACCAAGCUGUACCCCAACCACCUCAGACACAUGUUCUCAGGACCUCCUGAGGGCUGUGUCACAGGCCAUGGUCACUCCUAUUUGGCUCAGAAUAAAUCUCUUCAAAUAUUUUACAGAGUUUGACUCUUUUCAUCAACAUUAUGUAAACUCUCCAGACUAUCUUCUCAAUGUUUUUCCUGUAAAUAUAAAACUGCUCUAAAAAAUACAGCCCAUUAAAAAAGCAUGGUUCCUGAUUUCAUGGAGUUUGUAAAAUGAGAAGGAAAUUUAUUUUAUAGGAGUUUUUGAGGUCUAAUGAAAAGCUUGUAAGUGAUUUUAUACAAGGUUAGUGCAUAGUGCAUGAGACCUGAUCAAUAAAAUUUGUUUUCCUCUUUGUUG
Long non-coding RNA from Gorilla gorilla gorilla (western lowland gorilla), 2843 nucleotides. RefSeq lists it as uncharacterized. The transcript is spliced from 3 exons. The record is from RefSeq and is a predicted model, not a curated record. Lineage: Eukaryota; Metazoa; Chordata; Mammalia; Primates; Hominidae.